This 304-nucleotide ribosomal RNA is filed under the name uncultured bacterium. RNAcentral's name for it is "bacterial SSU rRNA". It matches the Rfam family "Bacterial small subunit ribosomal RNA", at positions 44 to 334 of the family's 1533-position model. The record is from RNAcentral.
GCGCCUAACACAUGCAAGUCGCACGAGAAAGGGCUUCGGCCCCGGUAAAGUGGCGCACGGGUGAGUAACACGUGGGUAAUCUUCCCUCGAGCGGGGGAUAACAUUCCGAAAGGAGUGCUAAUACCGCAUAAGACCACGUCCUCGAAAGAGGAUGAGGUCAAAGCUGGCCUCUAUAUAUAAGCUAGCACUUGAGGAUGAGCCCGCGGCCCAUCAGGCAGUUGGCAGGGUAAUGGCCUACCAAACCUAAGACGGGUAGCUGGUCUGAGAGGAUGAUCAGCCACACUGGAACUGAGACACGGUCCAG